This is a long non-coding RNA of Patella vulgata (common limpet), 5112 nucleotides long. RefSeq lists it as uncharacterized. NCBI's taxonomy places the organism in Eukaryota, Metazoa, Mollusca, Gastropoda, Patellidae. The record is from RefSeq and is a predicted model, not a curated record. The transcript is spliced from 5 exons.
UAUGCAAAUGUAGGAUGGGGAAUCCUCUUUCUAAAUAUAGUAUCAUAUUUGAGGUCAGAGACUUUUUGCACCAAUCAAAGCAAUCUUGAUUAACCUGUGGAAAAUAUACAAAUUCACUUGAUGCUUGGUGGGCCGGGCCUUGCGCAUGCGUAAGUAACUCUGUUGUACGAUUUCCUAUAGACGUCACGCUAUCGAAGAAAUGUCAACAUGUAACCUAUUUAAUCUCUGAAUAUCUGCCGGGAUUGUUUGAAAUACGAUAUUCUGAAGUAGUAAUGGAAAUAGUGAUUCUUAUGAAUGGCAGGGUAGGGCUAAUUAGCCCAACCAAAAGCAGGGGCGGAUUGGGCCGGGCGGACAAAAAAUGAAAAAUUUUUUUUGGCCAAUUCGUCUACAAAAACCUUUUUUUCUGCUGAACAUUAUAUUGGGGUGGUGGUGGUAUUGGACUGGCCAUGGAGAGAUGAUGAUCAUUGUUGUAUGUGGCCGGUGGCUUUAACGGGCCGCCACGCCAUCACUGGAGUCUGGAAUGGGCUGGUAUAAUUCGGAAUCCUGCAUAAUAAGAUGAUAUGAUAAUUUCACAGGUUGAUGGUUGUAAAUUACUUGCAGGUUGGGGUUUUGGCCUAAAUUAAUCGAUUUAUGAGAUAUCUUAUUUAACAGAGAUUAUAAUCAGAUAUGCCACCAAAUUGCAUAUUUCAUUGGGUUUCAUUUUUCAAAGUAUUCAUGGGGGAGAGCCAAACACCCCAUCCGGGCUCCGCUGUCAGUAAAAUGGGCUGCUCCGACACGGGAGCCUGGGACGGUUCCCGGCCCCAAUCCGCCCCUGACCAAAAGCAACUUUGAUUUGCUCAUGAUGUCGAACAAUGGAAUGAAGUUUUUAUUUUUUGAUAAUUAUUUAGCCCUAUAUUAUUAGAUUUUUACACCGAAGAAUGACAAAAGUUAUAGGAAAAGUUUCGGAAUUCGGAUCAGGUGUUGAUUAUUUUGGAGAAUAUUUCAUUAUGAAAUGACAUGGAUCAUAAAGUUUGCCUACAUCAGAGUCAGGGGACAUAUUGCUUACAGAUUUGCCGAGACACCAACAGCCUAAUAUCCUAUCUCUCACAGUCUCACACAACAACUUUUGGUCUUGGAAUGAAUUAUUAGUGAGCAGAAAUUCGGCCGUGUAUCUGUUAUCACUCGUCACAUCAGUCAGUUAUAUAGAGAUAUCCUAUCUCUCACAGUCUCACACAACAACUUUUGGUCUUGGAAUGAAUUAUUAGUGAGCAGAAAUUCGGCCGUGUAUCUGUUAUCACUCGUCACAUCAGUCAGUUAUAUAGAGCUCUUUCACAAUGUCAAUCUGAACAACAGACUCAACCUACCUGCAGAGAAGUGACUGUUUUAUAUUGUGGACGCAAGAAAAUGAUUCCUUGAAAGACCUACAUAAUAUAGCCUACUUCAAUACUUACAUCCAAGUCUAUCAUUUACAAUGGAAGAUAGCAACGAAAAGUUACCAUUCUUAGAUGAAAUGGUAACUAUAAAGUCAGGACGAAUUGAAACUGAAAUCUAUUAUAAACCUACAGAUUCCAAACAGUAUUUAGACUACAGCUCCUGCCAUCCACGCCAUAUUAAAAAUAGCAUUCGAUAUAUUCACUAGCCCGUAGAAUAUGUACCACGGUAUCAGACCCCACUACUCUAGACUUAAAGCUGAGAGAAUUAGAGAAACUAUUAAAAGCCAGAGAGUAUCCUGAUAGUAUCAUUUUGGAUGCUAUAACAAUGGCCUGUUCUUUUAACCGAGGCUAUCUUCUAAAACAAAGGGAACAAGAAAAAGGGAACAAGAAAACAAUUUGGCAGCCUUACCUAUUAUUACUACAUUUAACCCCUGCAAUCCAAAUAUUUAUCCAAAUGUGAGAAACUAUGUACAGGCGCUAGACACAUGUCCAAAACUAAAGCAUGCUCUAAAAGGUACUAAAAUGAUAAAUAGUAAACGGCAGAGCAAAAAUCUGAAACAAAUGUUAUCAAAAGCAUGCUUUAUUGAUCAAAAACCUUUGUUAGGUGGAAGUAUCACGAAAUGUAAUAGGCCGAAUUGCGGCACAUGUUCACACAUUUUGGAGGUAAAUUCAUUCACCUUUAGGAAUAACUCAAAAUUCAAAAUAAUGGAAAAUAUGUUGUUGUGGUGAAGAAUAUAUUGGUCAAACGGGGGAUGUAUUGAGAGCAAGAGUCUGAGUACAUAAACAACAAAUUAAAACCCCAUAUUAUAGAUGCAGCACAUAUAGAUGAAUGUGCAAAGAAUUGCAAUCCCCAGUUAGCAAUCUGUCCUAUAUACAAAAUGCGCACAGAGAAUAAAGAGUCGAGGAAAAUCAAAGAACGAUAUAUUGAAGGAUAUACCCCUAAACUAAACUGUAACUAACAUGAAAUCAUGUUGACGUCACAUUUACUGCGUAUGACGUCAUGAAUUAUGUCCCUUGCCAUUGUUAACGCUAUACCAUUAGCAACACAAUGUAUAAGUUACCCUGAUGAUCACUAUGUUGUGAAACCGGUUAUUAUUAUCAUUAUUAUUAGCCCACUUUGAAUGCAUGUGCAAUUGAUUGAUUGAUUGAAUAUAGUUAUAUUUUUGUAUCAUAUUGUAAAUAGUGUAAAUAUUUCUUUUGUCUUAUCUCUUUACAUGUUAAAAUUUUGGGGAGAGGGAUUACUUCCUGAAUUGUGGCCCCUGAUUGUACGAAAAAUCGCUUUUUUAGCUUUAUCCGAUUUAAAAAAAACAUAUUAUUAUAUCACCGUUACACCCUAAGGACGGCUGAGUUCUGACAGACAAAACUGACAGACAAAAUGGCCGCCCUUCGUUCUCAAAUAGCAUAAAAAUAUGGUAUAUCAAGGUUGUGGACCCUAUAGAGGUCACAAUUUUAAUCCUAUUUUGAUAAAACUUGAAAUAUAAGUUUAUAACCCGAAGAUCUUGGUUCCUUUUGAUAUUCGCGCAUAUCGGACCGAAACUUCCUGAAUUAUGGCCCCUGAUUGUACGAAAAAUCGCGUUUUUAGCUUUUGGACCCUAUAGAGGUCAUAAUUUUUAUCCGAUUUGAAAAAACGAAUUAUUGUAUCACCGUCACACCCUAAGGACGACUGAGGUCGAAUUUCGUGAAAAUCAUCCCAAAACUGACAGACAAAAUGGCCGCCCUUCGAUCUCAAAUAGCGUAAAAAUAUGGUAUAUCAAGGUUGUGGACCCUAUAUAGAGGUCACAAUUUUUAUCCGAUUUUGUUGAAACUUGAAAUGUAAGUUUGUAACCCAAAGAUCUCGGUUCCUUUUGAUAUUAGUGCAUAUCGGACCGUAACGUCCAGAAUUAUGGCCCCUGAUUGUACGAAAAAUUGCGUUUUUAGCUUGUGGACCCUAUAGAGGUCAUAAUUUUUAUUCGAUUUGUAAAACCGUAUUAUUAUAUCACUGUUACACCCUAAGGCCGUCCGAGUUCGAAUUUCGUGAAAAUCGGCCCAAAACUAACAGACAAAAUGGCCGCCCCUCAUUCUCAAAUAGCGUAAAAAUAUGGUAUAUCAAUGUUGUGGACUCUCUAGAGGUCACAGUUUUCUUUUGAUUUUGAUGAAACUUGAAAUGUAAGUUUAUAACCCAAAGAUCUUGGUUCCUUUCGAUAUUCCCGCAUAUCUGACCGUAACUUCCCGAAUAAUGGCCCCUGAUUUUACGAAAGAUAGGUUGCCAGGCAACGAAACAUACGCCCACAGCAGCUAUAUCGUCCGGGCAGUCAACAAGAGUUGUCACAUAUUUUUACUUUUUUCGGUAAUGAAACAUUUAUAAUACAUUAAAAUCUGAUUAAGAGUAACAACUCAUUAAGUAAUUAUCAGAAAACAAUUAGAAUUUGUUUGGUUUUUAUAAAGUUCGGGCCCAGGCUAACGUUUAGUAUAUGUAACCUUUAAUAUCAUGGAUUUAGCUGUUCAAGUCAUAAAGAUUCAUUGAAAAUCAAUAUACUUGUUCGUCUCAAGACCUUAAACUCUGUGUAUUAAUCUGAAGUCAAUCGGAUGAUAACUUUAGCCUCUAGAGCGUCACAAGAUUUUUCAAAGUGAUCAAGGGCCAUAACUCUGGCAGUAGUUAUCGGAAAUCGCUGAAAUCAUUAGGCUUCUUUCAAUGUGGGCGUAUAAAAAUCGCGUUUUUAGUUUGAGGUCCCUCUAGAUGUCACAAUUAUUAUCCGAUUUAAAAAAACGUUCAAAUAUAUCAGUGUUACACCGUAAUUUUGGUUGAGUUUGAAUUUCGUGAAAAUCGGACCAAAAUUGCCGGACAAAAUGGCCGCCCCUCGUACACAAUUAGCGUAAAAAUAUGUACAUUUGUAUAUCAAUGUUGUGGACCCUCUAGAGGUCACAAUUUUCUUCUGAUUUUGAUCGUAACUUCUUGAAUUAUGGCCCUUGAUUUCAGACCAUAACUUUCUGGAUUAUUGCCCCUAAUUGUACAAAAAAUCUGGUUUGUUUUUGGCUUGUUCUCUAUCCAUAUCUUGCAAAAUGUGGGUGUAUCCUGCCUGGCAGCCGCUGGUUUUGUAUUUGAGCUGUAAAUGAUUGUGUUGAUGCAAUUGUGAAAACAUCAUUCUCACGUAUUAUAUAUAUCAUCGUGAUCCGAUGUUGUUACAAUCAGAAUUUGAGAUUAAAGUGUAUUUAUAAAGAGCGUCUCAGUAUAUAUUCCAUGUUUUAACAAAAUCCAUUCAAUAGAUGUAAAAUUAUUAUGUUUCAAAGGAUCAUAUUACUGUAGACUAAUUAAAUAUGCACAUGUAGCAUGGAUAAUUGAACUAAAAGUGAAUGAAUAUGAUAAUGAUAAUGAAUAGGACAAGAUAAUGGAUAUGAUAAUUUAUAUGAUAAUUUAAUAGUCAUCCCCACCUUGCCCUGGCUUUCACAGAAAGUUAUAAUGGCAAGUUUAAAAUGUCUAAUUUAACGUGCCCUAUUUACAUGUAACAUGCCUAGACCCUGUCAUUUUCUGUGAAAAUCACCAUUCGUUUGAAGUGGAUGUUAAGCCCCAGGAAUAAAUGAAAAAUGUCUCUAACAGACAAGGCAGUUUCAUUUGAAAAAUUCUUAACUAUCCUACAAGAGCAUCAGACCUGUAGAUAUAUAUGUGGGUGGCAAAUAUUUCAAAGGUUAUUUAUUUUUAUGUAAUUAAAAACUACAAAUAAUA